UGCAGUCGAGCGGAGUUUUGAAAAGCUUGCUUUUCAAAACUUAGCGGCGGACGGGUGAGUAACACGUGGGCAACCUGCCCUUGAGACGGGGAUAACUCCGGGAAACCGGAGCUAAUACCGGAUAACACAUAUCUUCGCAUGAGGAUAUGUUAGAAGGUGGCUUUUAGCUACCACUCAAGGAUGGGCCCGCGGCGCAUUAGCUAGUUGGUGAGGUAACGGCUCACCAAGGCGACGAUGCGUAGCCGACCUGAGAGGGUGAUCGGCCACACUGGGACUGAGACACGGCCCAGACUCCUACGGGAGGCAGCAGUAGGGAAUCUUCCGCAAUGGACGAAAGUCUGACGGAGCAACGCCGCGUGAGUGAUGAAGGUUUUCGGAUCGUAAAGCUCUGUUGUUAGGGAAGAACAAGUACCUGUUGAAUAAGCAGGUACCUUGACGGUACCUAACCAGAAAGCCACGGCUAACUACGUGCCAGCAGCCGCGGUAAUACGUAGGUGGCAAGCGUUGUCCGGAAUUAUUGGGCGUAAAGCGCGCGCAGGCGGUUCCUUAAGUCUGAUGUGAAAGCCCACGGCUCAACCGUGGAGGGUCAUUGGAAACUGGGGAACUUGAGUGCAGAAGAGGAGAGCGGAAUUCCACGUGUAGCGGUGAAAUGCGUAGAGAUGUGGAGGAACACCAGUGGCGAAGGCGGCUCUCUGGUCUGUAACUGACGCUGAGGCGCGAAAGCGUGGGGAGCGAACAGGAUUAGAUACCCUGGUAGUCCACGCCGUAAACGAUGAGUGCUAAGUGUUAGA
RNAcentral lists this ribosomal RNA (791 nucleotides) under Bacillus sp. 9-12. RNAcentral's name for it is "bacterial SSU rRNA". It matches the Rfam family "Bacterial small subunit ribosomal RNA", at positions 56 to 827 of the family's 1533-position model. Lineage: Bacteria; Bacillati; Bacillota; Bacilli; Caryophanales; Bacillaceae. The record is from RNAcentral.